GAUGAACGCUAGCGGCAGGCCCAACACAAGCAAGUCGAACGGUAACAGAUCUAGCUUGCUAGAUGCUGACGAGUGGCGCACGGGUGCGUAACACGUAUACAAUCUACCUUUAACUGAGGGAUAGCCCAGAGAAAUUUGGAUUAAUACCUCAUAGUAUUAUAAUUAGGCAUCUUUUUAUAAUUAAAACUUCGGUGGUUAAAGAUGAGUAUGCGUACUAUUAGCUAGUUGGUAAGGUAAAAGCUUACCAAGGCAACGAUAGUUAGGGGGCCUGAAAGGGUGAUCCCCCACACUGGUACUGAGACACGGACCAGACUCCUACGGGAGGCAGCAGUGAGGAAUAUUGCACAAUGGAGGAAACUCUGAUGCAGCCAUGCCGCGUGCAGGAAGAAUGCCCUAUGGGUUGUAAACUGCUUUUAUACAAGAAGAAACCUCGGUACGUGUACCGACUUGACGGUAUUGUAUGAAUAAGCACCGGCUAACUCCGUGCC
This 488-nucleotide ribosomal RNA is filed under the name uncultured Cytophagales bacterium. Its description in RNAcentral is "bacterial SSU rRNA". It matches the Rfam family "Bacterial small subunit ribosomal RNA", at positions 28 to 509 of the family's 1533-position model. Lineage: Bacteria; Pseudomonadati; Bacteroidota; Sphingobacteriia; Sphingobacteriales. The record is from RNAcentral.